Molecule: long non-coding RNA, 4196 nt
Organism: Oenanthe melanoleuca
Lineage: Eukaryota; Metazoa; Chordata; Aves; Passeriformes; Muscicapidae
Exons: 3
Source: RefSeq, a predicted model, not a curated record
GCCGCUGACAUUGAGAGAGACGCCGCCAUGAUGCUCAGCACAGCCACUGGGAGACGGCGGCGCCGCUGGGCCAAACCUCCUCCGCUCGGACAGGAAACGCGAAGGAGAAGCAAGCCUUGUGCUUGAUUUUAACAGCAGAAUUUGACUGAAUCAGAUACAAAAAUUCUGCGCAAUUUGAAGAUCUUCUCUCACUGAUCACUUCAUUUGGAUGCACAAACUCAUUUUAUACUCAAUGUUUCACAAGAGUAGUAUUAAGAGUACCACUGUUCUGUGAGAAAUUUGAUCACUGCAAAUAGUCUCUCACUUCAAGUUACCUAUUUAUUGAAUGGCAUCAGCUACAGGUAUAUACUGAAUAACUCCAGCUGCUUUGAAGAAAUAGGCUUUUGAAUGGUUUUGAGAGAUUAGGGGAAAUUAUUGAGAAUAUGUGAUAUAAAUGUAUCUAAUGGAGCAAUUGUGCUGUCCAGUAAAAUACAUUUGAAAACAAUUUCCUUUAGCCUUCUAAAAACUGAAAUAUAGAGCAGGAAUAUAUUAACAGUGCAAUGCUAGAUCAGACUGAAGUCCUGAAGUUAGCAUGAAAAUGGAUCUCAGUUUAAUUACCACUGCAAGAUAUUUCUGAGGACACUGGAGGCAAGGAUGGCAUUUAAUCUUCCACACUGAAGUUCCCAUUUAGGUGAUACCCAUUAUUAAAGUUUUCUUACUUGUAGAAGUAGUUUUAAAGAUGGAGUUUGAAUUAACUUGAUUAUAUUCUCUGGCAGUAAGACCCACAAGCUGGGUAAGUGUUGUGUGGGAUACUUUAAACAAUUUUCCUAAGUUUUGAAUAAGCCCCACCUCACUCUCUAUACACAAGAUUUUCAAGGCCAACUGCUUGUUCAUACUCUACAAACUGAAAGAAGGAUUGGACCCUGGACUUCUGCAGAACCACAGACAAGACUGGGAAUCAAACUUCUGUUCUAUAAAAUUUGUAAGACAUUUUAAAAACGCUUUUGCAUUUUUCUCUUGGCUGCAGCAAUCUGUGUGUGAUUUGCAAUUGUGCACCUGUCUUGUUGACCAGAUGGAAGAAAGUGUUACUUCCAGCUCUCUUUGUGCUGCUCACAGGAGUUCCUGUGUUGCUCUGAGCAUGCUGGUGUUCAGGCGUUGCUGCCACCACCAUACUCCAGCAAGCUCCCUGUCUAACAAGAUCUGGCAAAGGGCAGUGUAUAUUCAGCACUGUGCAGUUCUGGGAUUCCCCUGCUGUGGAAAUCCCCAGGUCAAAAGACAGGCUAUGCUAUUCCUUGUGUGAAGAUUGAUUCAUUUGUCACAUACCUAGCAUUGUGAAUCACCCUGUUCAGAAGUUAGAGGGGGCCCUAAAAUAUAAUGAGUUUGCUAAAUAAAAAUAAAAACAUAGUUUGCCUCAAGACUUGUAGGCCUUUCUGAUUUUCUCACUUUUCAUAUUCAAAAUAUCCUGUAGAGCCAUGGGCAUUAUUUUGGAUCUUUGUUGUAAAAUAAAAAUUAAGUUUUGUCUUAAGGUUUGAGUUUCAGAAUCUUGAAAUACACAAGAGCUGCCAAAAAGUUCAACAUCUGUAACUGUCCGUAUAGAAAUGAAUAUGGAUAUUCUGAUAACAGCUCGAACCUGAAAUUGAGGUUGCAAAAAAGAGGACAACAACCCAUUUGCAUUAUACUUUCUUUGGCUGUGAGUACUUUGGAUAAGGAAAUAUGAAUUUUGUAUUUGACUGCCUUGUGCACUGGCAUGUUGUGAGAGACCACAUCUGUAUUUCCACACCUUCUGCAUUUGGAUUAAAGGCAUAAAAAUCUUCUACUGUUAUGAAGCAUGCUAUACAGUACUUUAAAUUUUUAUUGUGUCCAUCACUGUAUUAUUUGCACCAGGAAUGGUUUGGUGACACAAUUAGUUUCUGCAAAAAGGAUCGUGAUGCCAGAAAAACAGUAUUAUUUCUGUAAAACAGCUCUUGCCUUUUUUAAGGAUUAAUGAUUCUGUUUCCAUAGAAGUAAGUGUAUGAAAUAUAUAUUAGCAGAAUAUUUACUAAAUAGAAUAUUUAGAAAAUGUUCUGAAAAGAAAAAUCUGAGUGAUUUAUAAGAGAAUAUGUUGAAGAAUGUGUGAUUUUACUCAAUACACUGGUGAAGGAACACUAUGCCUUCUUUAAAAAAACCCCAGUCAAAGCAAAAGUGACAUUAAUUCUCUGUCAAAUGAAAAUGAACUACAAUUUUGCAAUUAAAAAAUUAAAUUAAAACAGUCUUCCAAGCAUAAAAUUAUAAUAGAAAAUAGUUUAUGUGGUCCUUUUUUAUUUUGGGGUCACUUUUUUCUUUUCUUGACAAAAUUGUUGCUGAUUUGGUCAUGUAUCAGAUUUAGUUUUCACCAAAAAUGGUUGUAUUGCAACACAAGGAAAACCCACUUUCAUACAAAUAAUAUGAUCAUUACUUUUCCUUUUCCUACUCUCCAAUGAAACAGUUAAGGAUUUGCUUGUGAAAUUACCUCUCACUAGUUCUUUUCUAAUCUUAUAAAUUUAUUUAUUAUCACUUUCCUUACCUUUCUUCCCAUGUUUUUUCUGGCCUAUAAGUCUUACACUAACAACUACCUUUCUUUGGGUAAUUUUCUUUUUACAUUCAUUUCAGAGAGAUGAUCCCAUUCCACGAGGAAAGCAGAAACAAGUUUAAAUGAGAGACAGUUCAUCAAAAAGACUUGUAAUCCCUGUUGUGUCUGUGUAUUCUUCAUGUCAAUUUGGAAAGUAUCAUUAAAACUAUCCUUCUUUCAGACUAUUUUUCUCAUAUAUUUUCCAUUUUAUAUCAAUGAAGUACCGUGAAAAACGGGCAGAAAACUGUCAUUUUAAGUAUUUUUAAAUUGUAAUUUAAGUUACAUUUUCUUCCCAUCUGAUAAACAACAGGCUAAAUACUACUGUAGCUCUCCUAUUUCUUUCUUUGUACUUUAUUUGCCAUGUCACACAGUGGAGACUUUUCCUUAUUUUCUGUUUUCCUCAUAAUAAGGUAAAGGGUAGUGGUAUUACAAGAGAGUAAUAAAAUCCCUGUUCACAAGUAUAUAUCAGUGAUCACAGAAAUUGUGACUAAAAUAACAGAUACAGUAAGUGUUCUUCAGGGUCUUUUGUUACUUUAGAUUUAGGUCACAAAGUGUAUUUCCCAGGCUGUUGUUCUAAGAGGAGCCCAUCUGACAACAUAAACAUUGUUUUACUUUUUCAGAACACUGGCUUUGUAGCAGCCUUGAAUUAAGAGUUUUCAGAACUUUUGCAAUGUUCGUAAUAAUUCCUUUUAAAUCAUGAAGAUUAAUUUUUAAACAGUACUUUUCCUGCUCAAAUCCUCUGCCUGUGUUUCCAUAUGGUUUCAUUUUAAUGCUUGUUAAUCCAUACUAUUAUUGCUUGCCUCCUUUUGCUGGAAUUCACUGGAGGAAAGUGCUAUUAGGGUUUUCCUUUUUGAAGAGGAGGGUAGUUGUUCUGAAAAGAGAGCACAAGAUGAAAUAAAAGAGUACAUUUAUGAACAAAAUGGGCAUAAUAAUAAAGGUUUUCAAUUGAAUCUCUCUGGUCUAGAGGGGAUCACUAGCGUUCUAAAUGAGAACAAAGACUCCCAGAAAAAAAAUUAAGACAUUAGCAAUAUUUUCUGGAGGCUUAAAUUUCUUCUUAUGUCUCAUAUCUCUAAGUCAGAUGAAUCUUAGAAAUGGCAAAAAAUUAUAUCUGCUCACAAAGAUUAUUUUAGUUAAUAUAUGUAACAAAUGUUUAAGUAGUAUCUGACAGGAUCAGACAAUUUCAAGGAAGUACUUAGCUUCAUAUUUGGUUAUUCAAUGUAUUCCUAAUUUAUAUUACCUUUUUUUAUACUAACUUAUUCAAAACCAAAUGCAUUUUAACAGAUAUGAACAUAAAAUAAUUUAUAAUAUUGCCUCAUAUAUGUUUAAAAUCCAGGUCUGUUUUUGACAUCGAUAUUAUAGAGAGUCCUUCAUGCAUACAAUUGAGAUAUUCAUAGCCGUAAAGAAACUUGGAAUGUGCUAAUAUAUUUCACUGAAUUGAGGCCUCUAAUUCCAAUGACCUAAAAAACCCCUUCAAAAAACAAGGAAGCAACUGGAAAAAAAAAAGUACAUUUUUUCAGAAGAAGAUUUAAAUAAAACUUGCUAUAUUUUAUAUCUAGUAAAAAAGCAAAUGCAAACUUUUGCAGUCCUUUGAAAUAUCCCCUUUAUUGACAAAGUUGCAAUUUGCACUUUA